Molecule: ribosomal RNA, 492 nt
Filed under: uncultured bacterium
Lineage: Bacteria
Description: partial 16S ribosomal RNA
Rfam family: Bacterial small subunit ribosomal RNA
Source: RNAcentral
AGUGAACGCUGGCGGUAGGCCUAACACAUGCAAGUCGAACGGCAGCACAGUAAGAGCUUGCUCUUACGGGUGGCGAGUGGCGGACGGGUGAGGAAUACAUCGGAAUCUACUUUUUCGUGGGGGAUAACGUAGGGAAACUUACGCUAAUACCGCAUACGACCUACGGGUGAAAGCAGGGGAUCUUCGGACCUUGCGCGAUUGAAUGAGCGGAUGUCGGAUUAGCUAGUGGGCGGGGUAAAGGCCCACCAAGGCGACGAUCGGUAGCUGGUCUGGGAGGAUGGUCGGCCACACUGGAACGGGGACACGGACCAGGGUCCUACGGGAGGGCGCAGUGGGGAAUAUUGGGCAGUGGGCGCGAGCCUGGUCCAGCCAUACCGCGUGGGUGGAGAAGACCUUCGGGUUGUAAAGCCCUUUUGUUGGGAAAGAAAAGCAGCAGGUUAAUACCCCGCUGUUCUGACGGUAACCAAAGAAUAAGCACCGGCUAACUUCGUG